UACGUAGGGGGUGAGCGUUGUCCGGAUUUAUUGGGCGUAAAGAGCGUGUAGGCGGCCAGGUAGGUCUGCUGUGAAAACUCGAGGCUCAACCUCGAGACGUCGGCGGAAACCAUCUGGCUAGAGUCCGGAAGAGGAGAGUGGAAUUCCUGGUGUAGCGGUGAAAUGCGCAGAUAUCAGGAAGAACACCCGUGGCGAAGGCGGCUCUCUGGGACGGUACUGACGCUGAGACGCGAAAGCGUGGGGAGCGAACAGG
RNAcentral lists this ribosomal RNA (253 nucleotides) under uncultured bacterium. RNAcentral describes it as "partial 16S ribosomal RNA". It matches the Rfam family "Bacterial small subunit ribosomal RNA", at positions 524 to 776 of the family's 1533-position model. The record is from RNAcentral.